CUUGGUCAUUUAGAGGAAGUAAAAGUCGUAACAAGGUUUCCGUAGGUGAACCUGCGGAAGGACCAUUAAUGGUGCUUGCAGAAAUGCUUGCACGGCGGCGGCCUUAAAACGCGCCAAAUGGCACCCUUUGUUUACGAGUACCGUUCGUUUCCUCGGUGGGCUUGCCUGCCAUGAGGACCAACAAAAACCUUUUGUAGUAGCAGUAUCUUCAGUAAAAACAAAUAUUAAAACUUUCAACAACGGAUCUCUUGGUUCUGGCAUCGAUGAAGAACGCAGCGAAAUGCGAUAAGUAGUGUGAAUUGCAGAAUUCAGUGAAUCAUCGAAUCUUUGAACGCACAUUGCGCCCUUCGGUAUUCCGUUGGGCAUGCCUGUUCGAGCGUCAUUUAAUCAUUCAAGCUCUGCUUGGUGUUGGGUGUUUGUUCCGCCUCAGCGCGUGGACUCGCCUUAAAUUCAUUGGCAGCCGGUAUGUUGGCUUCGUGCGCAGCACAUUGCGUCGCGAUUCUGGCAGGCCUCCUCCCAUUAAGCUUCUUUUAAGUUUGACCUCGGAUCAGGUAGGGAUACCCGCUGAACUUAAGCAUAUCAAUAAGCGGAGG
This 593-nucleotide ribosomal RNA is filed under the name uncultured fungus. RNAcentral's name for it is "eukaryotic LSU rRNA". The stretch from base 229 to 382 matches the Rfam family "5.8S ribosomal RNA". Lineage: Eukaryota; Fungi. The record is from RNAcentral.